This 486-nucleotide ribosomal RNA is filed under the name uncultured bacterium. RNAcentral's name for it is "partial 16S ribosomal RNA". It matches the Rfam family "Bacterial small subunit ribosomal RNA", at positions 30 to 507 of the family's 1533-position model. The record is from RNAcentral.
AUUGAACGCUGGCGGCAUGCCUUACACAUGCAAGUCGAACGGCAGCACGGGUGCUUGCACCUGGUGGCGAGUGGCGAACGGGUGAGUAAUACAUCGGAACAUGUCCUGUAGUGGGGGAUAGCCCGGCGAAAGCCGGAUUAAUACCGCAUACGAUCUACGGAUGAAAGCGGGGGACCUUCGGGCCUCGCGCUAUAGGGUUGGCCGAUGGCUGAUUAGCUAGUUGGUGGGGUAAAGGCCUACCAAGGCGACGAUCAGUAGCUGGUCUGAGAGGACGACCAGCCACACUGGGACUGAGACACGGCCCAGACUCCUACGGGAGGCAGCAGUGGGGAAUUUUGGACAAUGGGCGAAAGCCUGAUCCAGCAAUGCCGCGUGUGUGAAGAAGGCCUUCGGGUUGUAAAGUACUUUUGUCCGGAAAGAAAUCCUUGGCCCUAAUACGGUCGGGGGAUGACGGUACCGGAAGAAUAAGCACCGGCUAACUACGUG